This 485-nucleotide ribosomal RNA is filed under the name uncultured eukaryote. Its description in RNAcentral is "bacterial SSU rRNA". It matches the Rfam family "Eukaryotic small subunit ribosomal RNA", at positions 592 to 918 of the family's 1831-position model. The record is from RNAcentral.
CACAAGCGUAUAUUAAUGUUGUUGCAGUUAAAAAGCUCGUAGUUGGAUAUCUGUCGUGACGGACCUGGCCCAACAGCUCUCAUGAGCUGCUGUGUGCCGGUUCUGGUGUCCGGUUGUCGCGCUCGUUGUCUGGUUGGCUGGGUUCGCUUGGUCGAUCGGGCGAGUUGUGCUCCGUGUACACUUGUUCGUCGGACAUCCUUCAGGAGAACCGUUCUGCCAUUUACUUGGUUGGGGCGAGGAUCCUGAUCGUUUACUUUGAAAAAUUAGAGUGUUUAACGCAGGCUUCAUUGUCGCGAAUAGAUUAGCAUGGAAUAAUAAGAUAGGACUUCGGCACCGCUGGUGGCUGCCAGUUGUGGCGUGGCCUUGUGUCGCGUCUGCGAUUGGACCAACAGUUGCUGGUUUCUAUUUUGUUGGUUUCUAGAGCUGAAGUAAUGAUUGAUAGGGAUAGUUGGGGGUGCUUGUAUUGCGGGGCCAGAGGUGAAAUU